Long non-coding RNA from Triticum urartu, 957 nucleotides. RefSeq lists it as uncharacterized. The record is from RefSeq and is a predicted model, not a curated record. Lineage: Eukaryota; Viridiplantae; Streptophyta; Magnoliopsida; Poales; Poaceae.
CAACUACACCAGGCCCAGGACAGCAGGACCCCUCGCCCCGACUCGCAGACCUAGCCACGCAAGGACGCACUAGUGCUAGUUCCUGCGUGCAGCGAGGCAGCCGCCACCGCCCGCCGGCGACUCCCCUCCUGUCUCCCGCCCUCCGCUCCGGCGACUCCCCUCCCGCGGUCCCGCCCUCCCUCCGCCGCUCAGCCGCACCCUCCGUCCUCCGCCGUUCGUCCGGCCGUCCCCUGCUUUUGCUGGCUGUUGCUCCACCGCCCGCCGCCUCGCCCUGCUGCUCCGGUGCUCGCCGGCUCGCUCUCCUGGCUCUGCUCCGGCCUCUCCUGGCUCCUGCAGUCCUACUCUCCGGCACGCCGUCUGCUGCCCAUGCGGCCAGGCCCAGGAUACUGGGUAUUUGACUGCUUAUGGUUGGUGCUGCUGUCAAACAUUCAGUUGUAUUCAAAAUUUUUGGUGCAAUUGAGCCAUAUUUGAGGUAGCUAUAGCCUGAUAGACGUUAAUUUUUUCUGUCACGUCCGAAAGAAAAAUUGUGCCCGGGGGUUGCUCCAAUCCUGGAUCCGCCACUUGUUCCAGGUCCAAAUACCGCCUCAUAGCCUGUCAGAGGAGGUCACCUCUAGUGGUGUGAAUAUCAUUGAGACCAUGUCUAUCGUGGAAUAUGCUUCACAAGAGGUUUAUUGUUCCACAGACCGAGGGCUUUUGCGCGUUGUUAAAUGUAAAUUACUCCCAUGAACAACUUAGUUUUGGGUCAGUUAACUCUUUUAAUGGUCUGGGAAAAUUUGUGAUUUGAGCUUCAGGCACGGAUUGUUGAAAGGUGAUAUCUGGCUCAAACAUGUUGGAUUCUGAUCUUGUAAGAAAUUUUACUAGUGAAACCGGGAACAUGUCUCUUCCUAGGAAAAGGGAGACAAAUCCACAUAUGUAGACACUAUUUAAGUUCUAAAAUGUUAAUCGGUUUUUACUGCA